This 253-nucleotide ribosomal RNA is filed under the name uncultured bacterium. Its description in RNAcentral is "partial 16S ribosomal RNA". It matches the Rfam family "Bacterial small subunit ribosomal RNA", at positions 524 to 776 of the family's 1533-position model. The record is from RNAcentral.
UACGGAGGGGACUAGCGUUGUUCGGAAUUACUGGGCGUAAAGCGCACGUAGGCGGAUUUGUAAGUCAGGGGUGAAAUCCCGGGGCUCAACCUCGGAACUGCCUUUAAGACUGCAUCGCUUGAAUCCGGGAGAGGUGAGUGGAAUUCCGAGUGUAGAGGUGAAAUUCGUAGAUAUUCGGAAGAACACCAGUGGCGAAGGCGGCUCACUGGACCGGCAUUGACGCUGAGGUGCGAAAGCGUGGGGAGCAAACAGG